AGCCCCUGCAUGACCUGUCCUGGACUGACCCCUGUGUUGUCUUGCCUGCAGGACACAGUGAGGUGGACGUGGAAGGGGCUGAGUUGGACCCAGGUCAUGUGGUACACAGCCUCUCAGCUCUACACCAACGUCACAGUGGAGUUCCUGCCUGUCUACACCCCCUCGCAGGAAGAGCGGGAGAGCCCCGCCCUCUUCGCGGACAACGUGCGGAAGGUCAUGGCCAGGUGAGUGGCCGCGGGGCGCGUGGGCUGACCUGGGAUUGAAGCGUCUUGGGCUCGGUCUGCGUCCGGAGCUCUUAACAGAGCCUCUGAGCCUCACUAUCGCUCUGGUGCAGGACCCGCAGGCCCGGGGCUUCACGCUAAAUUUAAGAACGUAAAGCAAUACCCAAACAUCCUCCU
Lepisosteus oculatus (spotted gar) is the source of this 398-nucleotide non-coding RNA. NCBI's taxonomy places the organism in Eukaryota, Metazoa, Chordata, Actinopteri, Semionotiformes, Lepisosteidae. The record is from RefSeq and is a predicted model, not a curated record.